UAAUAAUCUACGGCAACUUUAAUUCCAACGCAACGUUUCAUUCUUUUCCCUUCUACAUCAUUAAUUUAAGCCUUUCUGCAUCAUAUGUCAUCGCAUAAUAGUGAACAUUACUAUUCAUUUUAUAAUAAUUGUACUGAUUAUACUGAAGUCUGUCCAUCGAUUUUCAUUGCUUAUAAAGUGUAUGUUAUUGUUUUACAUAUUUAAUCUUACACCAUCUGGCACAUUCAACACUC
RNAcentral lists this long non-coding RNA (233 nucleotides) under Brassica napus (rape). RNAcentral's name for it is "long non-coding RNA (BNAP_LNC000377)". The record is from RNAcentral. Lineage: Eukaryota; Viridiplantae; Streptophyta; Magnoliopsida; Brassicales; Brassicaceae.